GACGAACGCUGGCGGCGUGCUUAACACAUGCAAGUCGAACGGAAAGGCCCUGCUUUUGUGGGGUGCUCGAGUGGCGAACGGGUGAGUAACACGUGAGUAACCUGCCCUUGACUUUGGGAUAACUUCAGGAAACUGGGGCUAAUACCGGAUAGGAGCUCCUGCUGCAUGGUGGGGGUUGGAAAGUUUCGGCGGUUGGGGAUGGACUCGCGGCUUAUCAGCUUGUUGGUGGGGUAGUGGCUUACCAAGGCUUUGACGGGUAGCCGGCCUGAGAGGGUGACCGGCAACAUUGGGACUGGGGUACGGCCCAGACUCCUACGGGAGGCAGCAGUGGGGAAUAUUGCACAAUGGGCGGAGGCCUGAUGCAGCAACGCCGCGUGCGGGAUGACGGCCUUCGGGUUGUAAACCGCUUUCGCCUGUGACGAAGCGUGAGUGACGGUAAUGGGUAAAGAAGCACCGGCUAACUACGU
Molecule: ribosomal RNA, 467 nt
Filed under: uncultured bacterium
Lineage: Bacteria
Description: partial 16S ribosomal RNA
Rfam family: Bacterial small subunit ribosomal RNA
Source: RNAcentral